AUCAAGAACAAGCUGUCUGUGACAUCUGUUUAUCUGGCAAUCAGUUGCCAGAAUCGACUUGGUAGAUCUGCCUUGCUGGAAAGGUUUCCUCUUUCUUCCUGGAUGUGCCACACCUGUCUCUCUCAAAACUGUGCAUGCCAUUUAAAAGGCUGAUUUUCCUAGACAGAGCAGGGACAAGGGUCCUUAAGGAGUCAGCUUCUUCUGCUGGAAUAGCCAAAGCAUGUUAGAUGGUGAUCCUGCCUAGGAUAGAUAAUGAGCCACUUGAAGGUGAAGAUUUCAGCUCUUC
RNAcentral lists this small nuclear RNA (286 nucleotides) under Bos mutus (wild yak). RNAcentral's name for it is "7SK RNA (ENSBMUG00000004206.1)". Lineage: Eukaryota; Metazoa; Chordata; Mammalia; Artiodactyla; Bovidae. The record is from RNAcentral.